GAGUUUGAUCCUGGCUCAGGACGAACGCUGGCGGCGCGCCUAACACAUGCAAGUCGAACGGAAUCAAGAGGAGCUUGCUUUUCUUGAUUUAGUGGCGAACGGGUGAGUAACGCGUGAGUAACCUGCCCUGGAGUGGGGGACAACAGUUGGAAACGACUGCUAAUACCGCAUAAGCCCACGGUGCCGCAUGGCACUGCGGGAAAAGGAUUUAUUCGCUUCAGGAUGGACUCGCGUCCAAUUAGCUAGUUGGUGAGGUAACGGCCCACCAAGGCGACAAUUGGUAGCCGGACUGAGAGGUUGAACGGCCACAUUGGGACUGAGACACGGCCCAGACUCCUACGGGAGGCAGCAGUGGGGAAUAUUGCACAAUGGGGGAAACCCUGAUGCAGCGACGCCGCGUGAAGGAAGAAGUAUCUCGGUAUGUAAACUUCUAUCAGCAGGGAAGAUAAUGACGGUACUCAACAAGGAAGUGACGGCUAACUACGUGCCAGCCGCCGCGGUAAUAC
RNAcentral lists this ribosomal RNA (506 nucleotides) under uncultured bacterium. RNAcentral describes it as "bacterial SSU rRNA". It matches the Rfam family "Bacterial small subunit ribosomal RNA", at positions 9 to 526 of the family's 1533-position model. The record is from RNAcentral.